This 459-nucleotide ribosomal RNA is filed under the name uncultured bacterium. RNAcentral describes it as "partial 16S ribosomal RNA". It matches the Rfam family "Bacterial small subunit ribosomal RNA", at positions 338 to 795 of the family's 1533-position model. The record is from RNAcentral.
CCUACGGGGUGCAGCAGUGAGGAAUAUUGGUCAAUGGUCGGGAGACUGAACCAGCCAAGCCGCGUGAGGGAGGAAGGUACAGAGUAUCGUAAACCUCUUUUGUCAGGGAACAAAGACUGGGACGCGUCCCCGGCUGCGUGUACCUGAAGAAAAAGCAUCGGCUAACUCCGUGCCAGCAGCCGCGGUAAUACGGAGGAUGCGAGCGUUAUCCGGAUUUAUUGGGUUUAAAGGGUGCGCAGGCGGUCUGUUAAGUCAGCGGUCAAAGCCCGGGGCUCAACCCCGGCCCGCCGUUGAAACUGGCAGUCUCGAGUUGGAGAGAAGUAUGCGGAAUGCGUGGUGUAGCGGUGAAAUGCAUAGAUAUCACGCAGAACCCCGAUUGCGAAGGCAGCAUACCGGCGCCCUACUGACGCUGAGGCACGAAAGUGCGGGCAUCGAACAGGAUUAGAUACCCGAGUAGUC